AUGCCGGGCAUCCCAUGCAGGCUGGCCGAACACAGCCUCAAUAUACUGAAAGGAUACAAGCCAGUCAAGCAGACUCUUCGAUGCUUCUCAGAACCUAAGCGGCAAGCCAUGGGAGAAGAGCUAGCCAAGCUACUUGAAGCCGGAUUCAUCAGAGACAUCAAACAUCCGGAUUGGCUAGCAAACUUGGUAAUGGUACCAAAAAAGGACAAAUCAUGGCGCUUGUGUGUCGAUUUCAAAGACCUCAAUAAAGCUUGCCCCAAGGAUCCCUUCCCCCUCCUCCGCAUUGAUCAGAUAAUCGAUGCCACCACAGGACACGACUCAUUGUGUUUCCUCAACGCAUACUCCGGAUACCAUCAAAUAAAGAUGGCAGAGUCCGACCAGGCUGCAACAGCCUUCAUCACCCCAUACGGCCCCUUCUGUUUCAACACCAUGCCCUUCGGGCUCAAAAACACCGGCGCAACCUAUCAACGCAUGAUUCAAACAUGCCUGGAAAAACAAAUCGGCAAGACAGUAGAGGCCUACGUAGACGACGUGGUCAUCAAAACAAGACACGUUGAAACCUUAAUAGACGACUUGAGGCUCACGUUCGAUAAUCUCCGAACAUACGACAUCAAGCUCAACCCGGAGAAAUGCGUCUUCGGAGUACCCUCCGGAAAAUUGCUUGGCUUCAUUGUUUCCAAUAGAGGAAUUGAAGCCAAUCCGGCAAAAAUCCGAGCUCUGUCAAGCAGAUCCAGAAACUAA
This 741-nucleotide ribosomal RNA is filed under the name Triticum aestivum (bread wheat). RNAcentral's name for it is "partial small subunit ribosomal RNA". The record is from RNAcentral. Lineage: Eukaryota; Viridiplantae; Streptophyta; Magnoliopsida; Poales; Poaceae.